Molecule: long non-coding RNA, 215 nt
Filed under: Homo sapiens (human)
Lineage: Eukaryota; Metazoa; Chordata; Mammalia; Primates; Hominidae
Description: non-protein coding lnc-NIPA1-4:2
Source: RNAcentral
AUUAAAGAACUGCCUGAAUUGCUGCAAUGAAAUAGAGAAAUCCUAGAUGAGUCAUUAAGGUUGUUGGAUGAAGAAGAAGCAACCGAUAAUGAUUUAUGAGCAAAAUUUAAGGAACGCUGGCAAAGGACAUCAUCCAAUGAACCGUAUAAGCCUUUAAGAGCAGAGGGAACCAGCUUCAGAACAGUUUUAGAUAAAGCUGUGCAAGCAGAUGGACA